GUGUCAGCCGCCGCGGUAAUACGAAGGGGGCUAGCGUUGUUCGGAAUUACUGGGCGUAAAGGGCGCGUAGGCGGCGCGUUAAGUCAGAUGUGAAAGCCCUGGGCUCAACCCAGGAAUUGCAUUUGAUACUGACGUGCUUGAAUCCGGAAGAGGAUGACGGAAUUCCCAGUGUAGAGGUGAAAUUCAUUGAUAUUGGGAAGAACACCAGUGGCGAAGGCGGUCAUCUGGUCCGGUAUUGACGCUGAGGCGCGAAAGCGUGGGGAGCAAACAGGAUUAGAUACCCCCGUAGUCC
RNAcentral lists this ribosomal RNA (292 nucleotides) under uncultured bacterium. Its description in RNAcentral is "partial 16S ribosomal RNA". It matches the Rfam family "Bacterial small subunit ribosomal RNA", at positions 505 to 796 of the family's 1533-position model. The record is from RNAcentral.